RNAcentral lists this ribosomal RNA (469 nucleotides) under uncultured bacterium. RNAcentral describes it as "partial 16S ribosomal RNA". It matches the Rfam family "Bacterial small subunit ribosomal RNA", at positions 28 to 507 of the family's 1533-position model. The record is from RNAcentral.
AACGAACGUUGGCGGCGUGGAUUAGGCAUGCAAGUCGAACGCGAAUCCCUGGGCAACUGGGGAGGAGAGUGGCGAAAGGGGCAGUAAGGCGUGGGUAACCUACCCUCCGGGCCGGGAUAGCUUCGGGAAACUGAAGGUAAUGCCGGGCGACGCAGCGAGAUCGCAUGGUCUUGCUGCCAAAGGUCCGCCGCCGGGGGAGGGGCUCACGUGGUAUUAGCUAGACGGCGGGGUAACGGCCCACCGUGGCAAAGAUGCCUAGCAGGUGUGAGAGCACGACCUGCGCCACUGGCACUGAGACACUGGCCAGACACCUACGGGUGGCUGCAGUCGAGGAUCUUCGGCAAUGGGCGCAAGCCUGACCGAGCGACGCCGCGUGUGCGAUGAAGGCCUUCGGGUUGUAAAGCACUGUCGAGGGGGAGGAAGCCGCAAGGUUGACCUAUCCCUGGAGGAAGCACGGGCUAAGUUCGUG